This 448-nucleotide long non-coding RNA is filed under the name Brassica napus (rape). Its description in RNAcentral is "long non-coding RNA (BNAP_LNC000411)". Lineage: Eukaryota; Viridiplantae; Streptophyta; Magnoliopsida; Brassicales; Brassicaceae. The record is from RNAcentral.
UAACGGUUUGGUUUUAAGUUUGGGUUUUCAGUUUGGUUCGAGUUUAGUUUUUGGUUUAUAUGCAUAUACCUAAGUAAGCAAGUGGAAUUGUUGAUGUUGAGCUGAUACUCUGGCUAAUUAAAUUUUAUUGUUUUUAAUUAUUGUAGAAAAACUACUAGAAUCAAAGAUAGUAUUAACACAAAAAUACUAACCAUUAGACUAUGUUUUGCUCUUUUUGACACUAUAAUGGUUGUAUUUGCCCGCAAGUAAUAAUAUUAUAGGUAAAGACGGAAAAUAAAAGAUGAUUGUAAGAAGCCUUGUCGGAGACAUACUCGUCCACUAUACAAAUUUUUGGUCAAGUGAUUAAUAUAUCAAAAUGUCUUAUUUAUAUUAAAACUGGUUUGCACUAUUUGUCGUUUUUUUUAUUCUCUCAAAUUUUAAAAACUUUAUUAGAGGAUUUUUUCUGGAA